Long non-coding RNA from Cornus florida, 3193 nucleotides. RefSeq lists it as uncharacterized. The record is from RefSeq and is a predicted model, not a curated record. Lineage: Eukaryota; Viridiplantae; Streptophyta; Magnoliopsida; Cornales; Cornaceae. The transcript has 6 exons.
UUAGAUAUCCGACGUGGGAUACGAGUAAAAUACAAUAUGUCUGCAUCGAAACCCUAACCGGCCAAGACGUGGUUGAGUCCAUCGGAGGGAUUUCCAAGACAUCUUCCCCGCCGUUGGUUGUCUCGGGCCGAUCCGGUCGCCGACCGUUCCACGACAACACCUUCAAUUUCGAGUUUUCCAGCUGAGUUAGCUUCCCAAGUAUGGAUUCUUCGUCCACACAUUGUCCAAAAUGCCUGUACAGUCUCAAUUCAUUGCUUGAUUUGUUCAGUUCUUGAAGAUGGAAAAUGAAAUUGUUGGCCAUGGCAAGGAAAAAAAAGCAACCUUGAAUGCUUGAGUUACUGUAAGUGCGCAAAUCCUGGAUGUCCGGUGAGGAAGCACGUGGGUGGAGCUUAUAAAUAAUUCCACCAGACGAGAAUUGAGAAUCCGGCCGGAUAAUGUAGAUCAAACUCAGCCUAUAUCCGUUUGAUAGUUUCCCAAGAGGCAAUCUAUGCGUCUCGGGUGGAAUCAACAAAGGAACCUCUUUUGCACGGAUUAUCUGGAGUUGCUCAUCAUCUGCAACUUCAAGAAAAUGUGUUGUUCUUGAACUUCUUACAAGUGUUCCAGAAAAAUGGAGAUUGUAAAAUAAAUUCUUAUUAUGAAAAUAGUAACUCGUUUUAUGAUGUAUAGGCAUCAAACCUUUCACUUGGCUCUCAAUCUGCUAUGUUUUAUGUGAAUUGCAGAAAUAGAGCUUAGUUGACAAGAAAUAGAGCUAUUAGUUAACCCAACUUAGGAUUGUGUUGUCUGAAAGAUAUGCAUUGAGCUUUAGGACUCUAGUUGGCUGAGUUUGGGUUGGCUUGUGACCAGUUGAGUCAUAUGGUGGUGUAGGCAAACACUAAACUUGUUUAGUUCUAUAUUUCUCUAUUCAAUCCAUAUUUUGGUGGUGUUUUGUAAUUUAAUUUUAAAUUCUCAAUAUGAUGUUUUCACUGUUUAAUCUUAUGAUUUGUUUAUUACUCACAGUAGUUACUACAAGUGCACGAAUCCUGGAUGUCCGGUCAGGAAGCACGUAGAUCGUAGAUAGAGCAUUGCAUGAUCUAAGGUCAGUGAUAACAACCUAUGAGGGGAAGCACAACCAUGAUGGCCCUACACCAUGUGGUAGUGGCAGCCAUUCCAUCAAUAGGCCUUUUUCCAACAACAAUAAUGCAGGCAUGAAGAUAAGGCCUUCUGGCAUGACGCAUGAUCGCUCUGAUGAGUCGGUGAUCGACCCAAUUCACACUUUUAGGCUGCCAACUUUUGAAAGCCAAGCACCCUUCACGUUAGAGAUGUUGCAGAGCCCUGGGAGCUUUGGGUUCUCAGGGUUGGUUUGGAAGCUUGUAGACAACUGAAGGUAAAAACACACUAUUUGAAUAUGCUAAUUCACACAUAUGCAACCAAUAUUGGUAUAUGAUGUUGAUACACAAUCCUCUAUAAUCGGUACCCACAUAUCCUACACGCAAUACAACUUUCUUUUCAUGGAACGAUUCCCAUUUCUCACCGUUGAGAUGGACAUCGCAACUUUGGGUUGUGGUGGACGGAGAAGAAGAUGGUGAUGAAGAAGAGGAAAAGAAAGAGUAAACUAGUCUUUAAUAAAUUGAAAAUCUUGUGGUGUGCGUUGCAAUGGCAUAACCCUUGGGGUGCAUUUUGGCUCUCGCAGUAGCUGUCAACCUCUGGAAGUCACUAAGUCUGCUGGCACCACCAUACUUUCCAGUACCAAAGGGUGAAGAAGCCACACAGCAUGCGAUGAAAAGAGUAGCCCAAGGCGGUGUGACCAGUUAUUGCUUUUGGCAUGCCCAUUACUUAUAAAUUGACUAUUUUAACUCUUGUUUUUGAGUCGAAAACUUGUAGGGAUGUCGAUGGGGUGGGUUUGGGAUAGGGGUGUCUCGGGAAUAAAAAGUUUUUCCCAAACUCAUCCCACCCCCACAUUGAAGUCGAGGAGGGUCUCGGGGAUACCGGUAUACAUAUUUUUUAAGAAAAACAAUUCAAAGCAAAUCUAAGAUAAAUUCUUUAAGAAUAAAUUAAGUAUAUACAAGUACUUAAAAAUCAUAAUAACAAAAAAAGAAAAAAAAAAGUUAAACUUCAAAACUAUCAUUAAAAUGAAGGAAAAAGAAAAACUAUAACUAAUAAAACGAUGUUUAUUUAUAUAUUUAUUAUUAAUUAGGGCGAGUUCGGGGCUAUGCGGAUUUUAAACUUUCUUUCCAAACACAUCCCUAGCCUUGUUAGGAUGAUCCCAAACCCGCCCCAAUAGGGGCAGGACGGGAAAGACCCCAACAGCACGGGUUAAAUUGACAUCCCUAUAAACUCUAGAGCUCGAUCUCUGUUUCCUCCUCUGUUCAAAAUAUGAAUGUUAGUGCCUGAAUCCGGAAUAUAAAUGUCAGUACUUGAAGUUUAAGAGAGAUUGAAGGAGGCAAUGAAGAGAGAACGGAGAAGAAAUAGAGGUCUUGAAAUAGAGGUCUUUGUUCACAGUAUGGGAAGGUGACGAGACUCAUCCUGUUGACAUCUCUACAAGUUUAUCACUCAAGAACAAGAGUUAGAAUAAUCAAUUUAUAAGCAUAAUUAUAAUUAACUUGAAGGCACUAAUGGAUGAAGCAUCCCCCUUUCUCGGCUCUUGUUGUAGCUUGCCAUGACAACCGAAAAUAUAAGCAACUUCAAGGGGCAAUCUGUCUCUCAGGUGGAAUCAACAAAGGAGCCUCUCAUGCUUGGAUUAUCCGUGGAAACAGACUCUUUAUCUGGAGUUUCUCAUCAUCUGCACCUUCAAGAAAAUGUGUUGGUCUCGAACUUCCUACAAGUGUUCCAAAAAACGGAGAUAUUAGAACAAAUUCUUAUUAUGAAAUAGUAGCUCGUUUUGUGUUGUCAGUUGAGAUAACACACAAGAACACAAACGAAGUUGUGCAACUCUUCUGAUAUUGUUGUGUUUUUUGAAAACUAGAGCUGUUGUAUACUGACCAGAGAUCUAUUCAGAAGGUGGGACUACUUUGUUGAUGAGUCUCUGCAUCAACUAGUGAAUAAGAGUUUGAGUUUUUUACCUGGUGAUGGGAAGACCAUGCCUAACCAGCUGUGGCUGCGUAGCAGACCGAUUGUGGGAUUUACAAUGUUUUGUUAUUAACAUUUCUCUUGAUUUUAAUGUACCAAUGCUUUGGACUCGUGAAAUUAUUGUAACUGAUGGUGAUUUGGGUUUCAA